CUAGCCAUUCGAAAUCCUGAGGUGUAUGUUGGCUGUAGCAUAUUUAUUGUAGGAACUAGGUUGCACCAAGAUGGGAUCUAUCAUCCUCGAUAGAUGAGAGGAGUAGUCCUAUGAUAAUUGAAAGAUCGAGUCCUUAAGCCCAUGGCCAUGGCAGAGUGAAAUAGUGGAAAAGACUUUUUCAUUAAGGUUUCAUAUCGGACUCGGAUCGAUCGAUUAACUCAUAUGACUGAUGUUGGGUUUGACAAGCUCACCUUAAUCCUAAUUCAGUCAAAACUCAUGAUAGAGGAACUCAAUCACACA
RNAcentral lists this long non-coding RNA (300 nucleotides) under Elaeis guineensis (African oil palm). RNAcentral's name for it is "long non-coding RNA (EGUI_LNC070783)". Lineage: Eukaryota; Viridiplantae; Streptophyta; Magnoliopsida; Arecales; Arecaceae. The record is from RNAcentral.